Molecule: ribosomal RNA, 510 nt
Filed under: Tharra nausikaa
Lineage: Eukaryota; Metazoa; Arthropoda; Insecta; Hemiptera; Cicadellidae
Description: partial large subunit ribosomal RNA
Source: RNAcentral
UUCUUUAAGUUUAAAUUUAAGGUAUUUUCUGCUCUAUGAUUUAUUAUUAAAUGGCUGCAGUAUUUUGACUGUACAAAGGUAGCAUAAUCAUUAGUUUCUUAAUUAGGAACUUGUAUGAAUGAAUAUAUGAGAAAUUUAUUUUAUUUUUUUUAUUUUUUGAAUUUUAUUUUUAUGUUAAAAAGCUUAAUUAAUUUUUAGGGACGAGAAGACCCUGUAGAACUUUCAGUUUUUUAUAUUAUUUUAAUUUCAGUAAUUUAAUUUAAUUUAAUAUAUUAAACUUUUAGUUGGGGUGAUUAAUAAAUUUAACUUUAUUUAUUUCUCUCAUUAUGUAAAUGUUUAUUUUGAUCCUUAAUAAUUAAGAUUAUAAGAUAAGUUACCUUAGGGAUAACAGCGUUAUUUUAAUGGAAAGUUCAUAUUUAUAUUGAAGUUUGCGACCUCGAUGUUGAAUUAAGGAAAAAUUAUGGUGCAGUUGCUUUAAUAAUAAGUCUGUUCGACUUUUAAAUUCUUACA